Molecule: ribosomal RNA, 256 nt
Filed under: Rhodococcus sp. ISO698_OTU758
Lineage: Bacteria; Bacillati; Actinomycetota; Actinomycetes; Mycobacteriales; Nocardiaceae
Description: partial 16S ribosomal RNA
Rfam family: Bacterial small subunit ribosomal RNA
Source: RNAcentral
ACGAACGCUGGCGGCGUGCUUAACACAUGCAAGUCGAGCGGUAAGGCCUUUCGGGGUACACGAGCGGCGAACGGGUGAGUAACACGUGGGUGAUCUGCCCUGCACUUCGGGAUAAGCCUGGGAAACUGGGUCUAAUACCGGAUAUGACCUCAUAUCGCAUGGUGGGUGGUGGAAAGAUUUAUCGGUGCAGGAUGGGCCCGCGGCCUAUCAGCUUGUUGGUGGGGUAAUGGCCUACCAAGGCGACGACGGGUAGCCG